AUGGGAGCUAUCAAUAAGCUUUUAUUAGGCAUAUUCUCCAUAGCCCUAAUCUUAAGCACCCAUGUCUCUCAAGCCAGACCCAACAAAGAACCCCACCAGGACUUCAUAGAUGAACACAACAGAGCUCGAGCUGAGGUUGGUGUUGGUCCAAUCAAAUGGAACGACACCGUUGCAGCCUACGCCCAGAAUUAUGCGGAUUCGAAGAUUGAGACAUGUGAAAUGGUGCACUCACAGGGCCCAUAUGGUGAGAACUUGGCUGAAGGCUAUGGAGAAAUGACCGGCGGGCAGGCUGUGAAGUUUUGGGUGACUGAGAAGCCCAACUACGACUAUGCCUCCAACACAUGCGUUGGUGAUGUCUGUGGGCACUACACUCAGGUGGUUUGGCGCAAUUCGACUUAUGUGGGUUGUGCUAGGGCUAAGUGCAAUAAUGGCUGGAUGUUUGUGAUUUGUAGUUAUUAUCCUCCUGGAAAUUAUAUAGGAGAGCGUCCUUACUAG
Molecule: long non-coding RNA, 495 nt
Filed under: Prunus dulcis (almond)
Lineage: Eukaryota; Viridiplantae; Streptophyta; Magnoliopsida; Rosales; Rosaceae
Description: sRNA ncRNA
Source: RNAcentral